CUGGGCGGGCGACCGCCUGG
RNAcentral lists this unclassified non-coding RNA (20 nucleotides) under synthetic construct. The record is from RNAcentral.